GGAUGUGAGGGCGAUCUGGCUGCGACAUCUGUCACCCCAUUGAUCGCCAGGGUUGAUUUGGCUGAUCUGGCUGGCUAGGCGGGUGUCCCCCUCCUCCCUCAUCGAUCCAGGUGCGUCCCUCCGGAAGCUGCGCGCUCGGUCGAAGAGGACGACCUUCCCCCCCCAGGAGAGGACCCGUCUUCGGUCAAGGGUAUACGAGUAGCUGCGCUCCCCUGCUAGACCCUCCAAACAAGCUCUCAAAAAAUGGGAUAUAACAAAAUAAGAAAGCAUAAAUACAAAGCCAUAUUAUGAUUGACUUUAAGGACAUUAUUAU
Molecule: small nuclear RNA, 313 nt
Filed under: Myotis brandtii (Brandt's bat)
Lineage: Eukaryota; Metazoa; Chordata; Mammalia; Chiroptera; Vespertilionidae
Description: 7SK RNA
Rfam family: 7SK RNA
About the family: 7SK was discovered as an abundant small nuclear RNA in the mid-70s but a possible function has only recently been suggested. Two independent studies have found that 7SK RNA binds the CDK9/cyclin T complex (known as elongation factor P-TEFb).
Source: Rfam by way of RNAcentral